GCUUCGUUGCGAUGAAGGAGAGAGGAAGCUGCCUUCUUUCUUUCCUCUUCCUUUCUUUAUUUAUUUCAUUAUUUUUUUUAGUAUAAUAUAGUUUUAAUUCCUCGUCAUAGAAAUGGUUUAUUAGGUCAAAAAGUCUAAAAAGUUGAAACCAAACUUUCAAAGUUUGGAGUUGGGGAGUGAUAAAGCAGGACCCACCAUUAAAAAUUCUGACCGACUAAACCGGUACCCGUUCAACACGCGUGUGCGAGUCCACCACAGACAGGAAACACGCGCUUUGAAGAACACGUGAGAGAGACUCUUGCCAGUCAAACUCUUACUACUACUACUACUACUACUACUUGCUUUUGAGUUGAGUUGAGCUGUGCUGUCUGAUUUCCAUCAAAAUCAGUGCCAAAUCCAAACGAGUGGAAACUGAGAGAUUAUGUUCGGCCUUUUCAUUAAUUGUAGUUCAAUCGAGUUUGUAUCGUAUCAUAUAAUUUGAUUUCGUUAUAAGAAACUCAGAAUAUAAA
Brassica rapa (field mustard) is the source of this 509-nucleotide long non-coding RNA. RefSeq lists it as uncharacterized. NCBI's taxonomy places the organism in Eukaryota, Viridiplantae, Streptophyta, Magnoliopsida, Brassicales, Brassicaceae. The record is from RefSeq and is a predicted model, not a curated record.